CUGCAAGACACCCUGCUUCUGGCUCUGAGCUUUGCUUGUCUUCAGGGAUGGAGCCCCUCCCAAGGCAAGUUCAACUGGGUUCUUUGGCAGCCGAAGUCUACACGGACCCUGCAGGGAGCGGUGGAGAAAAGUUAGAUGUCUGAAGUGUUUUUCAUUGGACCAAAAUCAAGGUGUUGGCUGGGCUACCUUCCCUUCUGGAGACUCUAAGGAAGAAUCCAUUUCCUUGUCUUUUCCAGAUCCUAGAGGCUACCUGCAUUCCUUGGCUUUUAUCCCCAAUCUUCCAUCUUCGGAGCCAGCAACAGACCUUUUUCUUCCUUCCAUGAUAUAGAUAUAUUGAUCAUGAGGAGAGGGCUCACCCCUCACCCGGAGAAGUAGUUGGGGAAGCAAUAUGCGGAAACAAAGCCAUGAAUCUGACAAGAAAUGUACUUAAGGUUGUAUAUAUGGAGAUGAAUACCCAUUGUCCUUUGCACUUUCUGGAUGAUAAAUUAGAAAAGAAAAAUCCAAAGAAUGAAGUUGUGCUAUUUGUCCUCACUUCUGAUUUGGGAAACUAGAGGAAAUUAAGAUGGGAAAAGACCAUGUGAGGACACAGUGAGAAGGAGACCAUAUGCAAAGCAGGAAGGAAGAUCUCACUGGAACCAAAAACCAGCCCUGCUGGCACCCUGAUCUUGGACUUCUAGCCUUUCUCAGAACUGUGAGAAAAUAAAUUUCUGAUGUUUCAGC
RNAcentral lists this long non-coding RNA (720 nucleotides) under Homo sapiens (human). Its description in RNAcentral is "HSALNT0244512". Lineage: Eukaryota; Metazoa; Chordata; Mammalia; Primates; Hominidae. The record is from RNAcentral.